RNAcentral lists this ribosomal RNA (497 nucleotides) under uncultured bacterium. Its description in RNAcentral is "partial 16S ribosomal RNA". It matches the Rfam family "Bacterial small subunit ribosomal RNA", at positions 28 to 507 of the family's 1533-position model. The record is from RNAcentral.
GAUGAACGCUGGCGGCGUGCCUAAUACAUGCAAGUCGAGCGAACAGAUGAGGAGCUUGCUCCUCUGACGUUAGCGGCGGACGGGUGAGUAACACGUGGAUAACCUACCUAUAAGACUGGGAUAACUUCGGGAAACCGGAGCUAAUACCGGAUAAUAUAUUGAACCGCAUGGUUCAAUAGUGAAAGACGGUUUUGCUGUCACUUAUAGAUGGAUCCGCGCCGCAUUAGAUAGUUGGUAAGGUAACGGCUUACCAAGGCAACGAUGCGUAGCCGACCUGAGAGGGUGAUCGGCCACACUGGAACUGAGACACGGUCCAGACUCCUACGGGAGGCAGCAGUAGGGAAUCUUCCGCAAUGGGCGAAAGCUUGACGGAGCAACGCCGCGUGAGUGAUGAAGGUCUUCGGAUCGUAAAACUCUGUUAUUAGGGAAGAACAAAUGUGUAAGUAACUAUGCACGUCUUGACGGUACCUAAUCAGAAAGCCACGGCUAACUACGUG